This is a long non-coding RNA of Anolis carolinensis (green anole), 4513 nucleotides long. RefSeq lists it as uncharacterized. The transcript is spliced from 2 exons. Lineage: Eukaryota; Metazoa; Chordata; Lepidosauria; Squamata; Anolidae. The record is from RefSeq and is a predicted model, not a curated record.
UUUGAGGGUUGGAACUUCCUCUGGACAGAGGAAUGUUCUUCUCUUAUCUGUGUGUUCGGCGUUGAGCAUUCGCUGGAAAUGGACUAUGAAUGCUAUGCUCUGAAGCCGAGAAAUGCAACUGUAAAUAGAUUAUGUAAAUAAAGUAAAACAACAGUUAAACAACUGGAGUGUUUGUUUGACCAGUGCUGUUUCUCAGCAUGGGAAUACAGUCUGGAGAAGGAGGUGAGAUCGGGAUGAUGAAUUUUUGGAAUCCACUCCGCCUCCCAUCAUCCCCUGACAUUUAUGACUUAUGGCAACACUAGGGUGAACUUAUCAUGUAGUUUUCUGAAGCUAAGAAGAUGUGAUUUGGCCAUGUGGCUUUUUAUGACCAAGUUGGGAUUUGAUUCCAGUUCUCCAGAACCAUGAUCCAAUGUUGUCAUGGUUUGUAAAGGCACUGUGCUAUGUGUGUUAACUGGAAAAUGAAGUGCAUGAAGCCGAUUGGCUGAGCCUGCAAAGACCUGUGGAUUGAUUUGAUACUGUUUCUGUUCUGCUGCUGCAGAACCAGUUUGGACAAGUAUUUCAGUGCUGACUGAGUCCUGAUAGUGAAGAGAGCAAUGUAAUCAGAGAUGCCUUGCUAUGUUGAGACCUGCUUGUUGCUGAGAAAAGACGGUGAAGAACCAGGACUGUAUUCUUCCCUGAAGCAGAUUUGUGGACUGAGGAAGGACUGUUUAUGACUGUGGACUUCUGUAAGUGAUCAGAGGGACCAUUGUAAAUACUACUGGUUUUUUGAUCUCUUGGAAUAAGUAAAGUUCCUGUAUUCUUGUUCUGCAAACCUGAAUGGCAUGUUAUUGUUCUGCGGGUGACUCUGGAUCACGGGCACAUGAGGAGGCGGAUGCUCUCUCUCGACUGCAGGAUUGAUUUUCCUGGGCUCUUACGACUCGGGAUGACUCCACAAAUAAUUUGGCGAGCAAUAUGUACUGCUGCUUUCUCUGCAGACCUUUGAACCACACGUUUCUCAAUGCAUGGCUCACACCAGGAGCCAGUUGGAUGUGCUACUCAUUAAGGUCUAGUAAACCCUCUCAUGUAGGAUUUGGGGGAAAUUAAAGCAAACAACUUUUAGAAGCUUUUUCCAAUGUCAACAGUAGGUAUGGGAGGUGACUGCAGAUCAAAACUAUACUGGAUAUAGGGAAAUGGUUAAAGACAUCCCUCUCCAUGAGGGCUGGGCUGUGGCGCAGCUGGUUAGUAACUGUAUGCACAGAUGUCUAUAAUACACAGCAAAAAGGAAAAGUCUUGUAUAUAAUACUAGCUGUUCCCGGCCACGCGUUGCUGUGGCGAAGUAUGGUGGUAUGGGAACCAGAGCCAGCCCUAGGUAAUUUUCAAGUGUAGGUGAACAAAAUUUAGGCGCCCCCCCCCCCAACCAAUCACUGAAAAAUAAACGCAUUGGAUAAGCGAAAAUGUUGGAUAAUAAGGAGGGAUUAAGGAAAAGCCUAUUAAACAUCAAAUUACAUUAAGAUUUUACAAAUUAAGCAGCAAAACAUCAUGUUUUACAACAAAUAAACAGAAAAAGCAGUCUCGACUGCGCCCCCGUAUGUUUUGCGCCCGAAGCGACUGCUUAAUUCGCCUCAUUGUUGGACCGGCUCUGAUGGGAACUAAAGUAUUGAGGAAUUGGUGGUAGUUACAAUUAUUGCUCUCCCUCUAAUUAGGACUUCAUUUUUCUUUUCUUUUUGUUGUAUCAACCUAGUGGCGUGGAUGAUGGGUUGUGUUGUCAAAUUUCGAGGUUGGGGGGCCUGUAGUUUUGUUGUUUUGUGGGUCACCGUGAUGCCAUCACUCAUUUAUAUAUAUAGAUAUUCCGAGGUAAGUAGUGUUCAAGUUAUAUACUUCUACUGUAAUGAAAUCCUUUAUACAUUCAAAAUGCAACAAAAAAUUAUAUAUUCAAAACUGUAUGGGUAAGAAAUUGUGGUUCUACGCCCUUUUAAGUCUGAACUGGGUUUAAAUGAACCCGGUGAUUGAUCGUAGCCUCGUCCCUGUCGUACAUCCAACAGGUAAUGGUAAUCUUAUUAUUUUAGUUCAAAUAAACAACAUGUGACAUAGUGUAGGUACCCUAUAGGAAUAUAUACCUCUUAACAUAAAGAUAUACAAUGUAGCACCAUUGCAAGUUUAGACUCCAUUAAACUGUUACAGUCUCUUGUUUUAAAUCCAGUUCUAACAAAUAAGAUUAGUUGAUAUUAAAUAAAAAGUCUUGCCAACGUCUUGAUAAUAUUUUCAAGAACUAUAUACGUAUUGUACAAAGUCAAUCAUUCAAAUGAAAUCAAAAGUAUUAUAUAAAUUCUUCUUAUAAAUGGUACCAAAGUAGAGUUACUCCCUAAUAGAAGGAGUUUGUACAACACGUAUACAGUUCUUGAGAAUAUUAUCAAGACGUUAGAACAGUUUUGAAUAUAUAAAUUUUUGUUACAUUUUGAAUGUAUAAAGGAUUUCAUUACAAUAGAAGUAUAUAACUAGAACACUACUUACCUUGGAAUAUAUUAUAUACCAUACUUUUCCUUUUUGCCAGCUGGUUAGUAACCUGCUGCAAUAAAUCACUACUGUCCAAGAGGUCAUGAGUUCGAACCCCAGGUUGGGUUAAGCCUCCGACUAUUAAAUAGCCCAGCUUGCUGUUUACCUAAGCAGCCCGAAAGACCGUUGCAUCUGUCAAUUAGGGAAAUUUAGGGACGCUUUAUGUGGGAGGCUAAUUUAACUAAUUUACAACAUCAUAAAACUGCCAGCAAAACACAAGGAAAGGAAUGAGGAAGUACAGACACUACUGGACAGUGAAGCAACAGCUCCCCCUCUGGCCGGAAUCGUGAAGCUGGAAAAAAUGUUAAAAAAUGCCUCUGUGUCUGUCUAUAUAUGUUGUUUGUCUGUUGGCAUUGAAUGUUUGCCAUAUAUGUGUUCAUUGUAAUCUGCCCUGAGUCCCCUUCGGGGUGAGAAAGGCAGAAUAUAAAUACUGCAAAUAAAUAAAUAAUAAAUAAAAUUCGUAAUGAUUCUAAAUGUUUCUAAAAUGGCAGACGCACAUGUGCAAUCACCAAAAAAAAGGAACCCGGGGAGGGGGGGGGGGGACUUUUACAGGACUCUCCCGCCCUCAUUUCUUGAGCUAUUCUGAUCAAAUUUGCAAUGCCCUUGCAAGUUCUUAUUGCCUUCUUAUUGUCAUUAUUGUCAUUGCUAGUACUUUAAUGACUAUGUCAAUUACGUAACUACCUCCCUCCGAUUUGACACAUUCGCCCUUUGGCCUAGACUUGUGUUUUAUAUCUGUUUUUAACGCGUUUUCCUGCAAUAUUGUUUUUAUGAUGGUUUUACUGAUAUUGUUGAUUUAUUGUUGUAAAUUUAUGUGUUUUGAUUUGUUUUUAUAUUGUGAUGUUGGGCAAGGCCCCAUGUGAGCUGCCCCGAGUCCCUACGGGGAGAUGGGGCGGGAUACAAGAAUAAAAUUAUUAUUAUUAUUAUUAUUAUUAUUAUUAUUAUUAUUAGUUGUGCAAAGAUACUUUGAAAACUAGAAAUUCCCUUGCUAUAUUUGUAAGCAAGAAGGACACUGGAAAUCAAUGGUGUCUCUGGCUAUGUGAUCCCACAAGCCUCAACCCAAUGCCUUCCAUUAGAAAUGGACCAGUGACCACCACGCCAAGCAAUGCCCUGGCAAGGUGUACUUUGAAAACUAGAAAUUCCCUUUCUAAGAGAAGGAACCAGCAACAAAACCCUAACCCUUUCUCCAAAUCCCUCUGUGUCUCUUCCUUCCAAUAAACCUAUAACCAAGAUUGUCCUACCAAGAUUGUCCUACCUAUAACUAAGAUUAUUACUUUACUUACUUGGUUAUUAUAUGUUUUACUGUAGGCUAUGUUUUAUUGAUUCUUUUAUUUGAUUGUUGUAUCUUUGUUUAUAGUUUACUAGCUGUGCCCGGCCACGUGUUGCUGUGGCGAAGUAUGAGGCCCCUUCUACACAGCUGGAUAAAAUGCACACUGAAGUGGAUUAUAUGGCAGUGUGGAGUGAAGAUAAUGCAGUUCAAAGCAGAUAAUAUGAGAUUAUAAAUGGGUUAUAUAGCUGUGGGCCUGGAGUCUACACUGCCAUAUAAUCCAGUUAAAAUCAGAUAAUCUGUAUUUUAUAGGCAGUGUGGAAGAGGCCUAAGUGAGGCCUAACUCUGCCUGUCCCCUGGGCUGUGUGGGUUGCUAGGAGACCAAGUGGGCGGAGCUUAGCCUUCUAACUGGCAGCAAUUGGAUGAAAACAAUCAUUCCUCUCCCUCUAAUUAGGACUUUAUUUUUCUUUUCUUUUUGUUGUAUGAACGUAGAGGCAUGGAUGAGGGGUUGUGCUGCCAAGUUUAGUGUUUCUGGGAUGUGUAGUUUUGUUGUUUUGUCCUAGGCCAAAAUUUCAUUACCGUUUUAUAUAUAUAGAUUGAUAUGUGUUUUAAGGUAUUAUUGCUUGUCUCCGUGUUGGGCUCUGCCCCAUGUUAGCCACCCCGAGUCCCUUCGGGGAGAUGGUAGCGGGAUAGAAAAAUAAAGUAUUAUUAUUAUUA